Molecule: ribosomal RNA, 233 nt
Filed under: uncultured bacterium
Lineage: Bacteria
Description: partial 16S ribosomal RNA
Rfam family: Bacterial small subunit ribosomal RNA
Source: RNAcentral
CGGGUGAGUAAUGCGUAGGAAUCUGCCCUAGAGUGGGGGAUAACCUGCCGAAAGGCGGGCUAAUACCGCAUAAUCUCUAUGGAGCAAAGGUGCCUUGUACUUCGGUGCGAGGUUUCGCUUUAGGAUGAGCCUACGUCGGAUUAGCUUGUUGUAAGGUAACUGCUUACCAAGGCGACGAUCCGUAGCUGGUCUGAGAGGACGAUCAGCCACACUGGAACUGAGACACGGUCCAG